UGUGAAGGUCAAUGCUGCUUUCCGAUCUAAGGGUGGUCAUGCUGUCAAAAAGUUGAAGCAAUCAUCUGGCAAUUUCACCCUAGUAUCGAAUAGACGUGAACAAUGACUUCCAGAUAUUACAGAUUCCCAAUGCUAUUUGGCGGAGUAAUUGGUGUACUAUAUUUCGGUUUCUCGAUGAGGAAGUGGUAUUUUGCUGAUGGAGUUGAGGCUGCAAGAAGAAAGAAUUAUGAGGACACCCAUUUAAGUGAAACAGCAAAGGCAUUGGAAAAGACAAUACGAGACGUAGAGAAGAAGGCGGGGCCAAAGACUUGAACUUCUUUGUGUGUGAUUUUGAACAGCUUGACCGGAGUGUUGAUAUUGUACAUACAUAAUUAAAGACAAUGUUACAUUAUCAAGUCAUGGAUCAGGGAUUUAAUUUAGGAUUCCAAUCUAAGUGUCCUGUUCAAAACUGGAUUUUUUUUCAGAUUCAGUGGUAUUUUAACACUGCAUUCAUUGCAAUAAAGUAAAAAUAAUCAUUAAGGCCUCUAACCCUUUAUUUGUCCUGUUGAAAUACAAGCAUGGCAUGUACAUGAGCUGGGAAAUGUUGACAUUUGCUGUAGACUAGAGCUGAAAGUCAACCUCUGAACAUGUCUAGUUUAAUCUCACAUGAAGUAUGACUGUGAUUACAACAAAUGUAUUUUGCCAGUUAUGUCAAGUCUGUUGCCUUUUUACUUUAUUAAUCCGUGGGGUAGCUAAUUGUGAAUAAAGUGUUCGAUUGUUAUAAGGAUGUUCGAUUCCCAACAUGGGUACUACGUGUGAAGCUAUUUUCGGGGUUUCCCAAACAAGAUAAUGCUGGAAAAUGCUUAAAGGUGUAAAACCAUACUCACUCACUAUGAGUGUUGGUCUUAUAAUAGUUUAAAGAAGGUAUUCCAGACAGAAGAUCCGUCCAUUAUUCAACUUGAUAAACCUGUUUUGACAAUCUUGCAAAAUUCAUUCAAAGUUUUGACUGAAAAAGCUUUACAGUUCCUGACACCUGGAUGUAAUGUAAAUUCAUACCUGUUAAUUAUGUGAACAGCUAUGGGUCUCUAUGUAAUUGCAGAUUCAUCAGAAUGCUUGACUGGUUUUGUUUCACUCUAUCAAUGUCCAAUUUUCCAAUGUCUCCAUCCUGAAUAAUUGUCAUUCAUGAAUAAUGUCAUAAAGUAAUUGAAUGAAUGCUGUUCAAUAUUAAUAAGAAUAGUAAGGCUAUUCGCCUAUUGCCGAUGCUGUGUACAUGUCAUGGGGUGCAAUUUCCUUUGUCUGCCAUUUCGUUGCCGGUUCAACAGCACCCAAUUCAUACUUUUUAAUGUAACCACGUGCUGUCCGUGUUGGAUGUUGAUAUGUUUGAUGUCAAAAGACACGAGGGUGGGAUUAAUUUAUCAUCUAACAUCAUUCUUCCAACUCUUGCUGUUUGUAGACAGUAAUAAGCAGUGUCUUCAGUGUAAAAAGUACUGCUAACAGCUUCAGUAGCAGAGCCAUUAGUGAUGUCAUUUGAUUGUGAUGUCAUGGUAACCAAUGACAUCACAAUGGUCUGCAAAGCAUUGUGAUGCAAUUUCAUUGCAGCGUUAUCAACAUUGUAGAUAUAUCGCUUGAUAUCACCCAAGCAAUAUCUCCUGUGGGAGCCAGUUUUGGAUGAUAAAGUAAGUUUAACACUAACAUGGUGGAGUUGGACAGUCAGCAUGGUAGGGUCCUCAGUAACAACUAAAGGGGGACAAGACCUGGGUCUAAUGGCAGCCGCAGCAAGUUUGAACCAAGUUGUUAAACACUUACUUUAUCAGGAUGCUAAUUAAAUCCAUAUUGUAGUUACAAAUUAAACCAAGAUAAUGUCUCAAGUUCCCACAUUGCUCUAAAUACAAGGUGUAGACUGAAAAACAUGAAAUGAGGACAAGACUGCUGAGAAUUACGGUAUCUCCCUUUUUACCAUUUAGAAAAAUGCAUGCUUUAGCUACAUUUGUGAUGCAUUUUGAAAAGUCUAUGCUGUCUGACAUAAUUUGUGUCAUGUAAAUCUGAGUAUGUUAUAUUAUUUUCUGACCAGCAAUAACUUUCAUGGGGAAGUUUAGGCCUUGACAAAGACGUAUAUACGUCUCUGGGCCUUGAUUUUCAAAAGGUUUGCAUUGCCAAGAGAACGAGCUAUAUAUUAUUGAUUUUGGAUAUAUUUUUUACACAUGAUAUACUAUUCAAAUUUACAACUAUAAUUGCAAAGCUUAGAUGUGUUUAAGCAUGAUAAAAGUCAUACUCUUUAUUGUUGGAUGUUUGCCAACGGUAUUAAUUAUCUGUACAUCAUAUAGCAAAUGUAUCAGGGAUGAGAUCAAUUGUGCAUGAUAGUGUGUGCGAAGUAAUAUUUGUAAAAAUGAAAAUAUGAAUAGUUGAAUAUGGAAAUCAGCAAGUGAGUGGCAUCUUUGAUAUAUGAUGUUUUGACUUUUGCAAAAUGGAGUCAAUGACUGGCAAAAUAAAGAAACACCAGUUUGACAAAUGCUUGUUGAGUCUUUCCUUUCACAGAAUAAAUAUUGAAUGAACUUUGUAGAUACACUGCAUAUUAAUUGCAUAUCAUGUAAAUUCCAGGACACCUGCCUGUAAUGCACUUUUUUUGACUUAAAGAAUUAAUGAUAUUAUAAUUUAGUGUGUUGAGCAACAUGUUCUACAAUAAUAUUAUAUUACCACUGGAAGAGUUUUAUUAUUGCACAGAACCUGCUUUUCAGUAACCAUGGUAACCAAUUCCAAUUGGUUUUCCCUACUCAUACUUGUAGGUGCACCAGUUCAAUUGAUUAGUGUUGUCUUUGUCAGUUUUAUUUAUAGGCCAGGUCAAUUUGAGUUUGUUUAAUAGAGUUAUUUGUUCAGUAAGGAGGAGACAGAGAGGGGCAUAAAAGAUUAAGGUCAGGUGUGUGUUCAUGAAAAAAUGAUACAGCAAAAAGAGGGUUUGGCCAAAAUUUAUCUCAACUAUUAGGGGGUGUUUUUUUAAAAGAAAUGACAGUUCUAUUUUUUCAAAUAUUUUUUUUAUAAAUUUGAAAAGUAUUUUGGGACUGGUCAUUUCGUAAAACACUGCCUCGACAAAUCUCAAAUAAAUCUAUUUAAAUGAAAUUCUAGAAUGAAAACGUGCAUAAGACGUUACGUAUCGGUUGACAAUGCACACAUUUCACGGGAGCACGUGGAUUUGUUUACAUCGGAUGCAGCUGACUAUUUUGCAUCAACAAUUUUCAUUGGCUACUGUGGUGUACUUUACCCAAUGAUCGUCCGCGAUACGUUUAACCUUGGAACGUGUGCCCUGUCGCCGACGAAUGGAGGCGGAAGCGAUGUUGAAACGAAAUUCUCCAAAUCUUGGUCUCGUGAGAGGUUUGAAACUCGUCGUUGGAGGAAUAGUCGGAUUUCAUCUGUCAUUUAUGUGCUACACGUAUCUCAGGAGGACAUACUAUGAGACGCCCCUGGAGAGGAAAAUCCGACCCGAGGAGGGUCCCCAGGAGUGACAAGGGGAGUGACAAGGGGAGUGACAAGGGGACAUGUAGGGAUGUGAUACUUGGAUUAAUCACGAGACAAUCGCAUGAUAAACAAUUCCAGAUAUGCACUUCCAUCAACUAGCCGAGUGUGUGACAGACGAACAUCAGUUGUGGGAGUCUUACACAGGGUGGUGGAGUUGCACCAAGGAGGAAGUUUUAGUCAAUACAACAGAAAACAAGUCCCUGUAUAUAAAAGUAUAUUAAAUUAGGUUAUUAUUUGAAAUGUAUAUGACCUUAGGAACUAUGUUGAACCUGUAUCUAUAGUAUGUCCAUGUACAUUUCCCGAGCAGUGGAACUAGCUGGCCGACAAUCAUACACAAGUCAAGCGAUCAGUUAAGUUAUAAUCAACCUCUGGUCCUAGUUUGAAAAUCCCUGUUCUAAGUACAUGUACUGUCAUAUGAAACUUGUGUACACUAUCCAGGGCUUUAUUUUAGCUAUACAAAGCAUGCACAAGUGCAACUUAUUAUUGAAAAAUGCAACCUAAUAUUUAUGUCAACAUGCACUUAGUGCCUAUCAAAAACAAUUGUGUCCUUCUUACCUUUUCUUUUGUCCACACAAAAUUGUUCUUUGAACACACUCAAUACCUCUAAAGUUUAUUUACCAUACAACAUCUUGUCAUGUCAUGCUUUCUUAGGCGUGAUGUUUUCACACUGUGAGUAGGGCGGUGGGGUAGCCUAGUGGUUAAAGCAUUCGCUUGUAACGUCGAAGACCUGGGUUCAGGUCCCCACAUGGGUACAAUGUGUGAAGCCAAUUUCUGGUGUCCCCCAAGUGAUAUUGCUGGAAUAUUGCUAAAAGCAUCGUAAAACACCAUUCACUCACUCACACUGUGGGUACUUCACACCAUACAUCAGUAGUUUUUGUGACCCCAGCAAUAGAUCGACCUAUGUUUUAACUUCGAGACCAGGUUGCAACCUGGUUCUGUUUGGUGCAACUUAGUUUUCAUGUCAACAUGCACCUGGUGCAAGUAAGAUCAAGUUCCUUAAAUCAAGCCCUGCUGUCUCAUUUGCACAGCUGUCUAUUGCAUGUGUAGUUGUGUACGCAAAUGAAUUCACAUAUUAUGCCUAUAAAAUCAAAACAAAAUUAA
Molecule: long non-coding RNA, 4590 nt
Organism: Haliotis rufescens (red abalone)
Lineage: Eukaryota; Metazoa; Mollusca; Gastropoda; Lepetellida; Haliotidae
Exons: 3
Source: RefSeq, a predicted model, not a curated record